Molecule: ribosomal RNA, 386 nt
Filed under: uncultured bacterium
Lineage: Bacteria
Description: bacterial SSU rRNA
Rfam family: Bacterial small subunit ribosomal RNA
Source: RNAcentral
AUUAAACGCUGGCGGCAUGCCUUACACAUGCAAGUCGAACGGCAGCACGGGGGCAACCCUGGUGGCGAGUGGCGGACGGGUGAGUAAAGCAUCGGAACGUAUCCUGGAGUGGGGGAUAAUGUAGCGAAAGUUACGCUAAUACCGCAUAUUCUGUGAGCAGGAAAGCAGGGGAUCGCAAGACCUUGCGCUCUGGGAGCGGCCGAUGUCGGAUUAGCUAGUUGGUGGGGUAAAGGCCUACCAAGGCGACGAUCCGUAGCGGGUCUGAGAGGAUGAUCCGCCACACUGGGACUGAGACACGGCCCAGACUCCUACGGGAGGCAGCAGUGGGGAAUUUUGGACAAUGGGCGGAAGCCUGAUCCAGCCAUGCCGCGUGAGUGAAGAAGGCC